Apis cerana (Asiatic honeybee) is the source of this 1070-nucleotide long non-coding RNA. RefSeq lists it as uncharacterized. Lineage: Eukaryota; Metazoa; Arthropoda; Insecta; Hymenoptera; Apidae. The record is from RefSeq and is a predicted model, not a curated record.
UCUGCAACCAAUGUCACAGGUCCCAUCACCAUUACGAUUCUGCAUUAAAAUUAUGACAAAGUUCAAUUUGUCUUCCAUCAAAUCGAAGCGUCUCUUUAAUUUGAUACGUUUGUUGUUUUCAAUUAAUGCUUUCUUAUUAUUCUUUAAGUGAUCCCAUUGUUAUCAAGAUGAAUAGUAAUAUCGAUUACAAUCAUUCUUCGGCAUCGAACCAAUCAUUAUGAUGAAAGUUUAAGUAGAUAUUCAAAUAAAUGCAAUAUCGAUAUCGUAAAUGAAAUUUCCACUCAUUUUACACGAAUAAAUUUUGAUUCGUAGAAUGAAGAAAGUUGUACCAAGGGAGGGAAAACUCGUUCCAAGGGAGAAAACUGUUUAUUCCAGUCUUGGAAAGUCGAACUACCUGUUUUUCAGGAUAUUUCAACUAUUCGACUCGGCGAAAUGAGUUCUUAGAUCAUUAAGUCGUAACGAUAAUUUGGCCUGGCUACGUCAUUCAAGCUUCAUCCUCCCAUUAUUGCUGAUGUAGAUACGUGAAAGCAUGCAGGCACAUCCGCAAUUCCGUACCACUACGACUUUGAUUCUUUUCACCACCUUGGACCAGACUAAAAAAAAAAUAAAAACAAGUGCAGCUAGUGAUCGGAUUUAAUCCGAGAGCCAACCUCGGGAAACACGUUCAAGAGUACCGGCCAGUCAAUGAAGACGCACUGGGUUAAGGUCAACUAUACGAUAGUUGUCGUCGUAUCGUGAGCACAGAAAAUCAAAAAAAAAAAUUAAAUUGGUUGUUUCAACAACCACCUUAAUGGAUAUAUCCAAAUUAUCUAUUUUCAGUUUUCCCGAAAUGGAUUGGAUUAUUUUCAGCGUGUGGGACUACGCUAUAUCGAAUAUUUAUCACUUCUGUAUUUGUUUAUACUUAAUUCGUUUAUUCUCAUUUUGGACUAUCAUUUCUAACAUACGUGAUUACUUUUCUGAUUUUUCAAAAUUUUCCAUCGUAUAAGUAUCUCGGAUUAUUUUAUAGUUUCUUCUUAAUAAAUAAAUAUGUAUUCUUCAAUUACAUAAAUUAUGUAUAUUGGCACAAUGAA